Molecule: long non-coding RNA, 967 nt
Organism: Solanum tuberosum (potato)
Lineage: Eukaryota; Viridiplantae; Streptophyta; Magnoliopsida; Solanales; Solanaceae
Exons: 3
Source: RefSeq, a predicted model, not a curated record
CAACCAAACAACAUGAAUUUUUUUUAUCCCAUCACUAUUUUUUUUUAAUCUCUCACACCAAACGAGCUUAGAGCUCCAUUCGUCCUGUAUUAAUUUCUUAAAGUCCGUGUAUCCAAUGACUUUUUAUAAUAUAUUUGCUCCCAAUUUAAGAAUUUUCUUGCCACCUUUUUCUUUUUGCUUGAUUGAAAGCUUGAAUUCGGAGUUGUUGUUUCCUCACAUUUAUACUUUUUACUGGUGAGUGCUUGUCUGACAAAUCAUAAUAUUCAAAGUUGUAUCAUAUAUGGACAUUGUGUGUUUCCACAAGAUGGCAAGAAAAUGCACAAAAAAUUGCUCCUUGAGUGAAGAUGGUUAACUGUGCUGGUUUUCCCGGCCAUCCUGACAGAUAUUUUCCCUAUUCGAAGGAUCAGAAUUGAGUUCUCUGACCGGGUCAUGUAGUUGAGGUCACCAAAUAAUUCAACAUUUCAGUCAGUUUCGUACGUGAUGCUAGAGAUCUUACUGAGGAUGGAUGUAGUUCAAAUUUCUGUUGGAAUUGAAGACAUAAAUGAUUUAUAGAUGACCUAAACGCUGCGCUUAGAACUAAGCCAGUAUAGAAUAUUGAUCGUCACCUGCCACACGUCUAAACAAGGAUAAUUGGUUCAAGGUCACGCAAAGAUAGCUGCCAAGAAUAUCAGCUUGUUAUAUAAGGGGAACAGAAGAUCAAGAAUAUAAAAACCAUCACAGUGCCUGGGCUACAACAUGAUAUCAGUUUAGUUGUCUUCAAUUUGAUAGUUCUUGUAUUAAGUGAGUGAUGUUUUGAGUUUCAUGAUUCUAGUAAGAAUUUUCCAACCGUAUGUUCAAACACGUUACGCAUUCAUUAGUUAGAUGUAAACAUUCGAUACAUACAGAUUUUAACCAUAUUUGAAGUGUGCGCAAAUUGCAAGAUUGCUCGAAUACUAUUAUAUAAGAACAAGAUAUUGGAUGUGUUAUA